Molecule: long non-coding RNA, 147 nt
Filed under: Papio anubis (olive baboon)
Lineage: Eukaryota; Metazoa; Chordata; Mammalia; Primates; Cercopithecidae
Description: lncRNA (ENSPANG00000047919.1)
Source: RNAcentral
CAAUUUGAUCUCUGGCUGGGCAGGAGCUGGAGAUUAAGUAUUUAAGAUCAGCCAUGUAGGUGUUCUGUGUCUACCUGACUAACCCCCAUUAAACAGUCUGAACACCACAUCUUGGGUGAGCUUCCCUGAGAUUUCAAAAGACUCCUC